CCUACGGGAUGCAGCAGUGGGGAAUAUUGCACAAUGGGCGCAAGCCUGAUGCAGCCAUGCCGCGUGUGUGAAGAAGGCCUUCGGGUUGUAAAGCACUUUCAGCGGGGAGGAAGGCGAUAAGGUUAAUAACCUUGUCGAUUGACGUUACCAGCAGAAGAAGCACCGGCUAACUCCGUGCCAGCAGCCGCGGUAAUACGGAGGGUGCAAGCGUUAAUCGGAAUUACUGGGCGUAAAGCGCACGCAGGCGGUCUGUCAAGUCGGGUGUGAAAUCCCCGGGCUCAACCUGGGAACUGCGUUCGAAACUGGCAGGCUAGAGUCUUGUAGAGGGGGGUAGAAUUCCAGGUGUAGCGGUGAAAUGCGUAGAGAUCUGGAGGAAUACCGGUGGCGAAGGCGGCCCCCUGGACAAAGACUGACGCUCAGGUGCGAAAGCGUGGGGAGCAAACAGGAUUAGAUACCCUCGUAGUC
Molecule: ribosomal RNA, 465 nt
Filed under: uncultured bacterium
Lineage: Bacteria
Description: bacterial SSU rRNA
Rfam family: Bacterial small subunit ribosomal RNA
Source: RNAcentral